This 69-nucleotide transfer RNA is filed under the name Rattus norvegicus (Norway rat). It matches the Rfam family "tRNA". From Rfam's summary of the family: Transfer RNA (tRNA) molecules are approximately 80 nucleotides in length. Lineage: Eukaryota; Metazoa; Chordata; Mammalia; Rodentia; Muridae. The record is from Rfam by way of RNAcentral.
GGAGAUUUGGCUCAGUGGUAGAGCGCUUGCCUAGCAAGCGCAAGGCCCUGGGUUCGGUCCCCAGCUCUG